Molecule: long non-coding RNA, 305 nt
Filed under: Setaria italica (foxtail millet)
Lineage: Eukaryota; Viridiplantae; Streptophyta; Magnoliopsida; Poales; Poaceae
Description: long non-coding RNA (SITA_LNC006013)
Source: RNAcentral
CCAAUCCAAUAUAAGGCACAGAAACUGCAAACUGACCCUGAAACCUGAAUGACGACAAAGUAGUACACAACUCCUGCAGUACAGAAGGCAGAAAUAUUAUAGCCCAAACUUAAUUAAAUAUUCCAUAAAAACCCGUGAUAAACUUACAUACACAUCAUAUCCUUAUUACAGUGUGUCGCAUUAUUCUAGCUAUAGGAAGCUGCUACAGUUAGUAGCUUCCAUCCUGGCUGCCGGUGGCAUGCAACACUAGUGUCUCGAUCGUGAGUCCAGGCCCCAGCCCCGACAUGACUCCCCAUUGGCANNNN